This is a long non-coding RNA of Globicephala melas (long-finned pilot whale), 2813 nucleotides long. RefSeq lists it as uncharacterized. The record is from RefSeq and is a predicted model, not a curated record. NCBI's taxonomy places the organism in Eukaryota, Metazoa, Chordata, Mammalia, Artiodactyla, Delphinidae.
UUUGAAUGCCCAGGCAUGCUGUAACCUACAUAACAGCCUCCUGAAGAAUUAUUGGGGCAGAAAAUAAUCAUAGCCCAACCAAUCCUAGCUACCAGAUGUAGCUAUUGUGCUUUUGAAGGAUAAGUGUAACAGUUCCUGGGAGGGUUGUAACACUUAAAACAAGAAGGAAACCUGAACAAGAGAAAUGAUCCUGAACAGAUCUGGGGAGAAGAACAGAGGCCUGGAGAAACAUCUAUUGAGCACGGGGAGAGAAGAGGCAAUGGGCAGGCUGCAUUCCCCUAAGCAACUUGUGAUUUCCAAGGAUACAGCACCACUGUACUGCUGUGCAUUCUCUGUGAACAACUAAGGGCUUUUUGUUGAGGACAAACUCCGUGAUUAUCUGGAGCAUAGGCUUCUCCCGGACAUGAUUUACAUUGCCCAUCCCACAGUACCCCAGCCUUGGAUGUGCAGCACCCAUGUAGGGCCCUGUGCUUUUCUGCUCACUACAUGUCAAGUCCACAGAGAUUUUGUAAGGAUUGAUGAUUUCAUCAUUAUACAAUGUCCUUUCUCAGGAUUCCCUGGUGGUGCGGUGUUUAAGAAUCCGCCUACCAAUGCAGGGGACAUAGGUUCGAUCCCUGGUCCCGGAAGAUUCCACAUGCCAUGGAGCAACUAGCCUGUGAGCCACAACUAUGGAGCCUGCACGCCAGAACUACUGAAGCCUGUGUGCCCUAGAGCCCACGCAACACAACUACUGAGCCCACGUGCUGCAACUACUGAAGCCUGUGCACUCUAGGGCCUGAGUGCUGCAACUACUGAAGCCCAUGAACCUAGAGCCCGUGCUCUGCAACAAGAGAAGCCACCGCAAUGAGAAGCCCAUGCCCCACAAUGAAGAGUAGUCCCCGCUCACCACAACUAGAGAAAGCCCGCAUGCAGCAAUGAAGACCCAAUGCAGCCAAAAAAAAUGUCCUUUCUCUCUAGUGACAAUUUUAUUUCAAAGUCUAUUUUGUCUGAUAUUAGCAUAUGAACUUCAGCUCUCUUGUGAGUACUGUUUCCAUACACUAUAUUUUUACUUUCAAACAAUUUGUGUCAUUAAAACUAAAGUAUCUGUAGACAGCAUUUAGUUGGAUCAUUUUUUAAAAAAUCCAUUCUGCCAAUCUCUGCCUUUUAAUUCGAGAGGUUAAUCCACUUACAUCUAAUGUAAUUAUGGAUAAGGAAGGACUUAUUUGUAGCAUUUGGAUAUUAAUGUUCCAUAUCUUAUGUCUUUUUGGUUUCUCCAUACUUAUUUUAUUUCCUUUUUUAGUAUUAAAUAGAUAUUUUCUAGUGUAUUAUUUUCAUUCCCUUAUCAUUUCUUUUACUAUAUCUUUUAGUCAUUAUCUUACUGGUUGCCUUAGGAUUACAAUUAACAUCUUAAUUUAUAACAAUCUAGUUCAGAGUAACACUGACAUAAUUUCAAUAGUAUACAUUUUGCUUCUAUAUAUCUCCAUUCCUCUCCCAAUCUGUAUGCUUCUAUUGCCACAGAAUACAUCUUUACAUGCUGUGUUCCCAUUAAUGCAGAUUUAUAAUUACUGCGUUUUGCAACUGUCUUUUAAAUCAUAUAGGGAAAAAGGAGUUAUAAGCCAAAAAUACAAUAAUACUGGCUUUUACAUUUACCUAUUUAGUUACCUUUCCUGCUGUUCUUUAUUUCUUCAUGUCGAGUUGAGUUACUGUCUAGCAUCCAUAUAUUUCAAACCAAAGGACUCUCUUUAGCAUUCAUUGAAGGACAGGUCUGCUAGUAAAAAAAAACCCUCAGUUUUUGUAGAUCUGGAAAUGCCUUAAUUUCUUUUUUAUUUUUAUUGUGGUAAAAUAUACAUAAUUUUUUAUCAUUUUAAUCAUUUGUAAGUGGCAUUAAAUAUACAAUGUUUUGUAAACAUCACUACUAAAUCAAUACCCAAAACGUUUUCAUCAUCCCAACCAAACCCCCAUACACAUUAAACAAAAACCUGAGCUUCUAACCCCAUCCCUUGCCCCCAGCCUCUGAUAAUCUCUGUUCUACUUUCUGUCUCUAUGAAUUUGCCUAUUCUAGGCAUGUCAUAAAAGUGAAAGGAUACAAUAUUAUAUUUUCAUCUGUAUCUGGCUUAUUUCACUAAGCAUAAUGUUUUCAAGGUUUACCCAUGGUAUAUCCUAUAUCAAAAUGUAAUUCCUUUUUAUGACAGAAUGAUAUUCCAUUGUAUGAAUAUACCACAUAUAGUUUAUCCAUUCACCUGUUGAUUGACACUUCGGUUGUUUCCACCUUUUGGUUAUUGUGAAUAAUGCUGCUAUGAAACUUGUUACAAAUAUCUGAGUUCCUGUUUUGAGUUCUUUCGGAUAUAAACCUAGGAGUGGAAUUGCUGUGUCAUUUGGUAGUUCUAUAUUGAACCUUUUGAAAAAUUGUCAAACUGUUUUUCAUAGCAAUUACACCUUUUUACAUUCCCACCAGAAAUGCACAAGGAUUCUCUCAGCAAAAUGUUUUAUAAUUUUUGGUGUACUAGCCUUUUGCCUAAAUUUAUUACUGAGAAUUUAAUUCAUAAAUUAAUUAAAUUAAUUGUUUUUACAGGUCCCACUCAGGAAGGAAUGCAUUAAACACAUUCACAUUUCCAUUCUUUUUUUAAAGCAAAUGACAAAGACCCAGCUUACCAGCUUUACUUUUUUAAACCUAAGCUUAUAAUUACAUGUUUAAACAAUUGUCAAAAUGUACUAAGUUGCCAGCAUUCAUGCACAAGUAGAAAACAUCCUCAAUUUAUAUUAAAUCAAAAGUGUGUUACCAUUAAUGUCUUUCACUAUUAAAUACUGAAAAAAAUUGAAUUUGUGUAUGUGUG